Molecule: long non-coding RNA, 918 nt
Organism: Sinocyclocheilus anshuiensis
Lineage: Eukaryota; Metazoa; Chordata; Actinopteri; Cypriniformes; Cyprinidae
Exons: 3
Source: RefSeq, a predicted model, not a curated record
ACAGCAGUUCACUGGCCUGAUGUGCCUGUUUGUGUUUGUGUUUGUUUAUGUGUGUGCUAGCCGAGAUAUCAGCUAUGACCUUGUUAGCCCUGCCCUUCUGUCUGCCACCUCCACAGACUGCGCAAGAGAUUAUGCCCAGCGCGGCUAAUCUAGAAUAAUCCACAGCCCAGGCAGCGAUGCUCUCAGCGCAGGGGAGCAUUCUGGCAAUGAGAGCAGCUUACUGAACGAUACCAAAACAGAGCAUCAGGAAGUCCCAUCGAGUCAAACUCCAAUGCAAAUCCCCCGUUGGGUGGAAUAAUAACAAGAGAAUCCAUUAAUAAUGAGAGAAUUGGGCAAUCAGAUUCCAGUGGGUGAAAUCACAUGUGCCUCAUAUGCUACAGAUUACGUCUGAGCAGAUGGAGAGAGAGCAACGUGCAUAGGAUGCUGAUUCUAAAAGUGAAGAAUGUGUGGGAAAGUGGUGUAUCAGCGUUUGAUUUCGGUCUAGGGCAAUUCUAUGCACACCAAUGAGAAGCAGGGUCAACCACUGUGUGAAAUACAUUACACUUAAUAAUAGUAAUGUCUAGAGAAGUGAAGUUGCAUUAUACAUAUGAAAUGUUUUUUCAAACUUUGGAGUCUGCAUCUAAAAGUAGAAAAUUGCUUGCAAUCAGACAAAUCUUGUGAGGUCCCCAAAUUAAAUUUUUUCUGGUCCCGUGCUUUGGAUUUGGUUUGGAGUCUGCACCUCUGGUAAUGGGCCUCACAUGUUACCGAUCCUGUGGCAGAACUCGAGUUCGACCCAUUGGCAGAUCUAAUACUGCAUGCUGGAACUAUACACACUUUUUGAGCUGCAUUAAGCGGGCCUAAUUGUACAUGUAAAUUCUGCAUUAAACUUUUAUUGAAAAGUAAGAAUACUGAUCAUCUAUUUCAGCAUACAUUAGAAAA